Unclassified non-coding RNA from Macaca fascicularis (crab-eating macaque), 148 nucleotides. It matches the Rfam family "Metazoan signal recognition particle RNA". Rfam says of the family: The signal recognition particle (SRP) is a universally conserved ribonucleoprotein. It is involved in the co-translational targeting of proteins to membranes. NCBI's taxonomy places the organism in Eukaryota, Metazoa, Chordata, Mammalia, Primates, Cercopithecidae. The record is from Ensembl.
GCUGGGCGUGGUGGUGCGUGCCUGUAGUCCCAGCUACUUGGGAUGCUGAGGUGGGGAGAUCACUUGAGUCCAAGAGUUCAGGGCUGCAGUGAGCUAGAACUGUGCCACUGCACUCCAGCCUGGGCAACAGAGCAAGACCCUGUCUCAA